UGUUUCUCUGCCACCCUCCUCCCUCUAUCACUCUUUCGUCAUCCUCAUCACCCCUCCCUCUGUACGUUCUGAAGGAACAUCGCUUUCUAUUGGUGUUGGCCUGCUGUUAAUGUUGUGCAUCAUAGCCACGGUUACCCUACAAGAAGGAGGAGAGACUCUCUCUUUCUCUCUCUCUCUCUCUCUCUCUCUCUCUCCUCCCUCGUCUCACUCCCUCACUUGCCGACAAUGCGUCUCUCUGUAAUUGGAUUUUGAUGGGGUUUUUUUUCGCUUCCUGCUGAAGGACACAGUGUCGCAGACGGCCAGCCUGAGGAGAAGAGAGGUCUGUUUUCGCAGCAGUCAUUAUGCAGCCCCAUGCGGCGGAGGUGGCCCGCCUUUAUCAGACCGAGUUCGUCCGGAGUGCACGGGCUAUGGGCGUCCUGUGGGCCAUUUGCACGCUCUGCUUUGCAGUCAUCGAGGUGGUUAUUCUUGUCCAGCCGUCCUGGGUGGGCACGCGUGAGCUCCGUUACCUGGCCAGCAGUGUGGGUGGAAAGAUGCCACCUCAGACUGGUACGCUGGGCCUGUUCGAGGUGUGUGUGGAGUCAGACUGGCCAGUUCCAGAGUGCACAGGCUCCCUACAUACACUGACCCCGAUUCCAGCCUUCCAGUCACCGGCUGUACUGGUGUGCAUCUCACUUACCAUGGUGUGGGUCAGCGUUGGAUGUCUGUGUUUGUUUCGCUUCUGCAAUGCCGCAACCGUGUAUAAGAUCUGCGCCUGGCUACAGCUCACUGCUGGUUUCUGUCUGGCACUAGCCUGCGUGCUCUUCCCAGAUUCGUGGGAUUGUGCUGAGAUGCGUGCCCUGUGUGGAGACAGUGUUGAGAGUUUCUCUGCAGGAAACUGCAGCAUACACUGGGCCUACGUACUGGCCAUGCUGGGGGUGCUGGACGCCGGCAUCCUCGCCACGCUCGCCUUCGUCCUGGGCAACCGCCAGGAUGCGCUGCUCCCAGAUGACGCCAAGGAUGGUGACGUUACUGGGUUGUUACUGGAAGCAUAGCAUGGUGAUGGAGGGAUACCACAGGUACGGAUGUUACGAUGAAGCAUGCCGACAAUUUAUUAGUUGGUGGAGAAAAAAAAACGACGUGAGAACAACUUCCUCCUCCUCUUCUUCUUCCACUUCCUCCUCUCCCACAGCAUGACAUCAUCUCCCUGACACUUACAUAAAAACACCGCAUAGAAACUAGAGUCGGUCACCUAGCAACCGGAAUCAACGACUUCUCCAGCUGUAGGUGGAGGCAGGGAAAUAAGAGGACACUCGUUUUUCAUCCUCUGUCACCUCGUGAGAAGCGGACGGAUGUCGUCGUAGAUAGUCAUCAAAGUGAUUUUCAUAUUGUCUUGUUUCAAGAGCAUCAAAUGUGUUCUCUGUUCUUGUUCAGUUCCACUGUGUGAUGUGGUGUGGAUUGUAGGGUUCUUCACAGGGUUGUUAGUCUGCAACCUUUAUUCUAAAUAUCCUACAUCAAGCAAAACCAACAAUUAGGCCUCAGUGAAAGCAGAACUCUGAACCAGAUUUUUUUUUCCUCUCAAAUUGGACCUUGAAUGAGUCAUGAUUUAGUAUUUAGUUUUUUUAUUUUUAUAGAAUCAGGAUUUUAUAUACAUAAGGUGAUUUACUGAAUUUUCCUUCAUCUUUGGGAAUGAAACCAGGAAGCGCAUGCUUCAUUAUUCCCGGCGUUUAUUACACAUGACUUAAGCAACAAAUAUUGAGCUGAGACACGAGAUUGACAUCAACAUCAAUUUUUUAUUGAUUAUUAUAACGCGACAUUUUUUUCUCUUUUUUUAUUUCACAAUCCCACCUGCAACUUACAGAUGCAUAAGAUUGAUAAGAUUUCACAAGCACACAGACGGAGAAACAAACAAACAAAAAAGCAUAAAAUACAAUUAUGAUUUAAGACACGGUUUCUUGCACGUAUUCUCAGAUAGAGAGAGAGUAAUAAAGAACGGGAAAUCCAGAAAAAGGACAGGCGACGUGUCAAACAAAGAACUGUAUUUGAGAACGGGUUUGUCGACACGUUUAUGUACUAUAGCCACAGGCAAAGCUGGGUGGGGGUGGUUGAGGGUGGCAGGGGCGGGUUGGCAGAGCUACACCCAAUGACGUCCACGGCGAAGAUGGACAGACUGGGUUUCAGUAAUACACGCAGGUCAAACGCUGUCCGAACACCAGAUCAGAAAGAACCGACACAGUGCUCAGUUAACGCCUGAAGUUCAGCCGGACCUUAAAAGUUAACGGAAUAUGGGUGUGUGCUUCACUGCCAACAUCUGAGGUCUUACCACAAUGGAUCUGCUCUUUUUUUUAAUUUCUCAAUAACUGAGAUCAAUUUCAGAUUGAAAUGUGAAACAACAUUCUCAGUAGUCCUACAGGUUUUUUUUUUUUUUACUGUAAAACCCAGAAAAUCUUUUCUGGUGUGAACGUUGGUGUUAAAUCAUGAUCUUCUACUACUGCAUUCAAAUAUCUGACAGUUCCAUCAAUAAAGAGUUAUCAGUGAAAAUGUUGGUCUUAG
RNA transcript from Silurus meridionalis, 2529 nucleotides. It is a transcript of the gene named LHFPL tetraspan subfamily member 4b, with no coding region annotated. NCBI's taxonomy places the organism in Eukaryota, Metazoa, Chordata, Actinopteri, Siluriformes, Siluridae. The record is from RefSeq and is a predicted model, not a curated record. The transcript has 5 exons.